CAUCCUUAAAACGAUCUCAGUCAAGUUGGGAAAACCGGCAAACGACCAACCGAGACAUUGAAGUACUUCAAAAACAACUUCUACGAGAAUUUCUCCACCCCGGCCGCUUCCCUGCGGGCCGCGAGGUUUUCCCGGCUCCGGGAGGGCCAUGAGCCCCGCUUAUGCCCCGGUGGAAGCGGCCGCACAAUGACAGUGACCCGUGGGUCUCUCGCGGCCUGCGUCUGGGACAGCUGGCUCGGCGCCCUGAAGGGGGGCUUCAACAGUAGCAGCCCCUCCCCCGGGCCCUUCCGGGAGCCCCCGACAGGCCGGAAAGGAACCCGACCCGGCUCCGGAGGAAAAGCCGAAGAAAUGGAUCAUUGGAUGCUGCUAAGCAGCCAGCGGGCCAGGACUCCUACGUUACGAUCUGGGCCUGUCCUUUUUGGCAGAAUGGAGCCUUAUUUUCCUCAUCUGUAAAAUGGAGAUAUUAGUUCCCAUCUCGGAGAGUGAUGGUCCAGCUGGCAUGAGAAUUUCAUGAGAUGGCUGAAUGUUAAUCAUCUUCACAAACAGAAGCUGUCAGGGUGGAAAGAGCAAGGUGGGAGGUAGGUACACACAAGUUUCGGCAAGAUGCGGAGGCAGCCUUUGUUCCCACACGGGUACUCACAAAGGCUGCAGUGCAUGCAGCUUUAUAAGAGGGGUUUGAGCAUUUUUUGCCUUACUUGAGUAUGUGGUUAGCAAUCAGGAGAGGAAGGGGAGAUGGGAGAGAACACACAGGGCAGUGCUGGGAGCCCUGAUGCUUAGAUGCACCAGGCAAAUUCCCUCUACCUGCCCCUUCAAGAACUCAGUGUCAAGGUGCCUGGGUGGCUCAGUGGGUUAAGCGUCUG
Prionailurus viverrinus (fishing cat) is the source of this 860-nucleotide long non-coding RNA. RefSeq lists it as uncharacterized. The record is from RefSeq and is a predicted model, not a curated record. Lineage: Eukaryota; Metazoa; Chordata; Mammalia; Carnivora; Felidae. The transcript has 3 exons.